Molecule: ribosomal RNA, 508 nt
Filed under: uncultured bacterium
Lineage: Bacteria
Description: partial 16S ribosomal RNA
Rfam family: Bacterial small subunit ribosomal RNA
Source: RNAcentral
AGUGAACGCUGGCGGCAGGCCUAACGCAUGCAAGUCGAACGGCAGCACAGUAAGAGCUUGCUCUUAUGGGUGGCGAGUGGCGGACGGGUGAGGAAUACAUCGGAAUCUACUCUUUCGUGGGGGAUAACGUAGGGAAACUUACGCUAAUACCGCAUACGACCUACGGGUGAAAGCGGAGGACCUUCGGGCUUCGCGCGAUUGAAUGAGCCGAUGUCGGAUUGGCUAGUUGGCGGGGUAAAGGCCCACCAAGGCGACGAUCCGGAGCUGGUCUGAGAGGAUGAUCAGCCACACUGGAACUGAGACACGGUCCAGACUCCUACGGGAGGCAGCAGUGGGGAAUAUUGGACAAUGGGCGCAAGCCUGAUCCAGCCAUGCCGCGUGGGUGAAGAAGGCCUUCGGGUUGUAAAGCCCUAUUGUUGGGAAAGAAAAGCAGUCGGUUAAUACCCGAUUGUUCUGACGGUACCCAAAGAAUAAGCACCGGCUAACUUCGUGCCAGCAGCCGCCGUAA